GUUUAUCAAGAUCAAUAACAAAUGAGGACCACACAUCAGUAAUUCUCAAACUUCAACUCAACCAGUAAAACCUUCAGACUUUCACAGUACCCUACAAUUCCAUGCGUUCCAAAAACAUCCCAUUUCUAAUUCAAUAUUUUAAAUUUAAUUAUAUUUUUAUGAAAAUUUAAUUUUACUUUUAUUUGUUUAUUUCUUAUCUCUACUGCUUUUCCCAUUUCACUGAUAAGCUUUUUUGGGGUUCGGAUCAAGGUAUCAACUGGGCCGUGUCACCCACGGGUUGACAUGAUAUGGGCAUGGAUCCCUGCUUCUUACUAGGCCGAUGGGUUGCGGCCCUUGUACCUCUAUCUCUCUUUUAAUUAUAUAUACGUAUAUACACUUAGUUAAAUAUUGACUAAAAUAAAGUUUGGAAGUUUUCCAUCAAAAAUUAUUCUAGGAGUGAUUGAUAACAACGUGAUUCUUUAGAGUUAAAAUCUUGGAAAAGUAAAAUUACAGUAGUUGAUAUGUAAAAGAAAGUGUUUAUUGAAAUUCAUAGAAAACUAUAUUCUAGGGUUUGGUAAUUAGCGGGUAAAUUUUUGAGGAGGUCACUGUGUUUUGAUCAAUUUUCACUUUGGUCACUAUUUUUCAAUUUAUAUCAAAGCUGUUAUCAGAAAUCGAUUUCAUUUUAACGAGCUGUCACUCUUGGAUUUCCAGCCAAAUUUAUCUGAUGUGACAGCCGGAGAUGCCACAUCAUAUUAAAUUAAUCAUUUCUUGACACCUAGCUGGACUGGACAUAUCAACUUUGAUCCACGUCAUAUUAACCAAUCUACUCAGCAUACACAGUCAGCUGCAUAGUCAUCAUCUUUAUCUUUCCCCUCUUUCUCUUCUUUCGUGAGAGGGUCCUAUGCUUGACCCCACAAUCCCCAAAUUACAGCCGAUCAUCUGAGAAGCAAAAAUUCUUUGUGAUCACCGGAGAGUUGCGGGGAAACGGGGAGAGGAAGAGGGAGGGAGUCUAGCUUAUGCAUUUGCUGACGAUUGGAGUUAGGGCAAGGCGGUGGCAACCAUCUCUGUACACCAUGGAGAGCGGUUGGCAGGUAAGAGGUGCGCAAGAUGAAGCUACAGUAUACUGUAAGUCAUAUUACCUCCUUGUUUCGUACAUUGAUUUGCGUAGGAUGAAGCGCCAGUGGAAAUGUAUUAUUUUUAUUAAAUCUGUGAAAGGUGUUUAAAUUUUUUUAAGAAGAUUGUUGAAGAACAUGUUAAACUUGGUUUUUGUGGGAAUGAUUACAUCCAAAGUUGUUUUUAUUACACUGGUGAAAAUUUUUAAGAAGUACGACAUAGAAGAUUUUUGAGGGGUUUUGUCUCUUGUGAUGAAACACUACUUUACAAAUUACCUAAUUCUUAAUGGGUUGUGAAUUGGAAAUUAUCAGUAAUGUUGUAUUUUAUUAAUAGUUGAUAAUUGAUAGUUGUGUAGCCCUUUGGAUUGAUGAGGCAAAAUAAUUUUUUAGGGUUAUUAUUCUAUGAUGAAUUUUUUUAACACCAUUUGCAUUAAUGUUGUCUAGUACCAAUUGCUGAAUAUUUCUCAAUACACAUGUUCUAUGGGAUGGGUGACAUUCAAAAUAGGAGUGAGUAUAGGAUGUCAGGUGUUGUAGACUUUUGUGAUACUGAUUUCUUAUUCAGAUUGGAGGUUGAACAUAUGGCCAGUGAGUUGAGCAUUUAUACAGAGGGAUGCAGUUUUUGUUUUUGUGAAACCAGGAGAGGCGUGAGAGAAAUAAAAAGUGAUUCAGAUGUCAUUAGAAUGGCUUCAAAUGUGGGCUAGAGUAGGCAUAUAAGUAUUUAUGUGAAGGUAUCUAAGAUAGAUGGUCCUAGUGGUGAGAAGAAAUUAGGACAUAUUGCAAGUGUAGAUGAGGUUAUUGAAGAUUUUAGAGAUGAAGAGGCUAAUGAACCAUCUGAUGAAGUAUUUGAUGAAGAGGAAUCCAAUGAAGGUGUAUAGGACCUCCAUUUAAAAGAAUCUGGUCAUUUACAAGAAGCUAAUGAAAAUGACCAGGAUGUCAAAUUAUGACAAUCUAGUCAUUUACAUGAAGAUACUGAAGAAAAGGGAGGCAAUGAAGAUGUGCAGGAAGUCCAAGUACAACAAUCUGGUCAUUUAGAUGAAGAUACUAAAGAGGGAAGAAGAAGUGAAUGAAGCUGUGUAAGAAUAUGAAUCAGAUGAAGUUGAUCCAUUUGAUGAAGAUCCUGAAGAAGAAGAAGAAGAAGAAGAAGAAGAAGAAAGAAGAAGAAGAAGAAGAAGAAGAAGAAGGUAAUGUAGAUGUCUAGGAACAUGAAUCAGAACAAGUUGAUCAUUUAAAUAAAGACCAUGAAGAAGAUCCUGGAGAAGAUGUAGGUAAUGAAGGUGCGCAGGAUCAUGUAGAUCAAGAUCCUGAAGAUGAGAAAGCCAAUGGGAGUGAUAUUUAUGACUCUGAUUACAGUUUAAAUAGUGAAGAGGAUGAUGGUGGGGUUGCUAGUAAUGAAGAUUGUGCUGAUGGGCCAAGGAAGAUGUCCAAGAGGAAACUGGUAAAGAAGAAAAUGUUGAUGAGGAGGAGGUCUUCACUGACUAUGCUGCAUCUGAUGAUCUACAGUCAUGUUCCACAACUGAUAAAGAUGAGAUAAAUCCACCCAAGGCUAGAUAUCCUGAAUUCAGAGAGGCAGAUGUGAAGGAUCCUCAUUUUCAUAUAGGGAUGAAGUUUAGGCAUUUGCACAAUUCAAGCAAAUAGUGAAAAAUUAUGGGGUAAAAAAUAGGGUUGUGAUUAAUUUUAGGUCUAAUAGUAAGGUCAGAUGUAAGGCAUAUUGCAGAAAGGGCUGUCCAUCUUACCUAUGGGCUUCUCCAAUGCUAAAGGAAAAGAACACUAUUUAAAUCAAACCUGGAUAUCUGAAACAUGAAUGCACAAAGGACCGUAAUAUAAGGCAUGUAGUGCUCAAAACAUAGUAGAGUAUUAUCUGGAACAAGUUAGAGUAGACCCAUCUUGAAAGCUUAGAGGCAUAAUACAGGCUAUCAGAACAAAUCAAGAGGUUGAAAUAUCUAGAUUAAAAGCAUGGAGGGCCAAAAGUAUUGCCUUAAGGUAUAACAGUGAGUUUUUUCCCCAUGUUUAUUAAGUUAUCUUGAGUCUUUAAUUUGCAUUCAACCUGAAUGCAGCAUGGUGUUUAUAACAGUGAGUUUUUUUUCCCUAUUUUUACCUACUGGGAAUUAGACUACUUGAUGGGGAUGAGCACACCCAGAUGAGUAGGCUAUAUGACUACAGGUUGGAAUUGCUCAAGACACACCCAUAAUCGACAAUAAAAUUUUAAUGCAAUGAGGGUGUGUUCUCAGCAAUGUAUGUGUGCUUAUUUCCACUCAAAAGCAGGAUUCCUGGCAGGCUAUAGAUAGGUAAUAUUAGUGGAUGGUUGUUUCUUGAAGGGACAUUAUGGAGGUCAACUUCUUACAGCUAUUGGCAUUGAUGUGAACAACUGCAUCUAUCUAGUAGCAUGGGCAGUAGUAGACAUGGAGAACUACCACAAUUGGGUCUGGUUUCUAGAACUUUUGGUUGAAGACCUGGAAAUAUGCAACUCGUAUCACUGAGCAUUCAUGAGUGACAGAUAGAAGGGCCUUCUAAAUGUAAUCGAGGAAGUAUUUCCUCAUAGUGAACACAUGUUUUCUGUAAGGAAUAUACAUACAAAUUUUAGAAGAAGAUUUAGAGGCAAAGGCCUUAAGAAUCAGUUAUGGGCCUGUGCUAGGAGUAGUUAUGUCCCUGUAUUUAAUCUGGCAAUGGAAACACUUAAGGAUAAGUCAGAGGAACAUUUUCAUGAAAAAUAUUGCCCCUGUACAUUGGAGUAGGUCACAUUUAAAAUCCAAAGUUAAUGUGACAUGUUGCUUAAUAAUUUAUGUGAAUGCUUUAACAAUCAGAUCUUGGAAGCUAGGACCAAAGGUAUAGUUAGUCUUGAUGAGAUGAUUAGGGCACAACUCAUGAUAGGGAUAAAAAAAAUGAGAAUCAAUGAAAAAAAAUGCACCACACACACUAUCCUAAGAUUGUUAACAAAUUAGAGAAAGCCAAACAACUUAGCUGGAUUUGCAGGACAACCUAGUCAGGUGGUGAAAAGUACUAGGUUGUUCGUUUUCAUGGGUAUUUUAUUGUUGACACUAAAGAUAUGUCUUGCAACUGUAGGUAGUGGCAAUUGACAGGUAUACCAUGUUUCCACCCAAUAUCAUCACUUGAUUAUAACAAAAAAACCCUGAAGAUUGCAUAGAUGAGUGCUAUACUGUUAGAACAUUCCUGUCAACCUAUAACCAUAUACUGAACCCAAACCCAAGACUCCAAUUACUGGCCCAAGAGUCCACAAGGUCCAAUGAUACCCCUAGAACCAGCAAACAUAAAUAGGGGCAGGAAACCCUUGAUGAGGAGGAAGAAUCCACUUGAUGAGCAGGAAGGAUACAUAAAAGGGAAGGUCAUUAGGAAAGGCCACAACAAGAGGUGAAGUGUUUGUGGGACUAUUGGACACAACAAGAGAUUUCAUGGCUCCCAAAGAUACAGAACAACUAGAGAGAAACAAAAUAAAGAAGAUGCUGGACAUCAUAUGGACCCUAUCAACACAAUUGAUCCUGAAGUGCUUCAAGAGCAUUUCAUUCACAAUAUGAGGGACAUACCUGCUUACACAAACUUUCCUACGAGUUCUGCACCAUCAGUAGAGGCACAUGACAAUCCUGCAGAACAAGUACCCUCAUUACAACCACAGGAUAUCCCCAACCCAGCACAUGAUAUCCAUAUACCUACUGGAAGUGGAAAUCAGGCAGCUGCACCACUGACACAGGGGAGUCAAAUCAAUCAUGAAACCAUCCCCAUAACAACAGCUUGUGUCACGUCCCGACCCGCGGGCCCGCCACGUGACAACCGCCGCGACAAUCCCGAGGAGGGACACACACCACUCAACCCUCGAGUCAUCGCAAGGCUCACAAACUCCUGCUAAACAACACCGCAAUAAUAAAGGUAGAUCAGAAUUAGAACACCCAUGAAACCACCCCCACAACAACAACAACAACUGGAGAUGGAAGAUCAAAGAUGAAAAACUUGUCACAAUGGCAGGGGAAAACUAGCUCCUCUCUAAAAGCCAAGCAAGGAAGCAUAUACCUGCAAAACCGCCUACUCAGGUCAUCCACAACCCAGCACAUGAUCGGCACAGUCCUACAACAACUAGGAGUCAAGCAAGCGCACAAGUAGCACAAGUAUAUCAUUGGAGUACUUCAUUGAUGCUUAAUAUUUACUUGAUGACACACUUAACUUUUUUGAUGGGAAACAUAUUUUUUCCGAUGAAACACAGGUAUAUUAGAAUCAGAAGACUCACCAAACCAUAAUGUGAUCGAAAAAUCAACCACUAUCCAAAUUCCCAUCAAGACCACCUGUGCUAAAAAAUGGAGGAGUGCUAAGAAAUUUAGAAGAUAGAAGCAAACCAAGUGAAAUAGGAAAAAAAAAGAAAAAUUUGGCUUCCACUAAGGAGCAGUGCAUCUCGGAAACCAUAAAUAUGACUUUAUUAAAGUGGGUGAUUCUACAUUGUGCUGCAUGUUUUUGUUUAAAAUUGUGUAUGGACCACUAUAGUGGGGAAUUUUCAUCUUUAACUUAGGUUUUGAAAAAAAAAUGUCAUAUUCUCUUUGUUACCUAUCUCAAUUGAUUAAAAA
This is a long non-coding RNA of Dioscorea cayenensis subsp. rotundata (Guinea yam), 5656 nucleotides long. RefSeq lists it as uncharacterized. The record is from RefSeq and is a predicted model, not a curated record. Lineage: Eukaryota; Viridiplantae; Streptophyta; Magnoliopsida; Dioscoreales; Dioscoreaceae. The transcript has 8 exons.